UUGAGUGAAAACAUUUGCUGUCAACAGCCAGUUCCACUGUACUAAGCCAGUCUAACAGAUGUGCACUCACCCAAAGACUUAUGCAGCUGCUACUGCUGCCGCUGUGUGUGUGUGUGUGUGUGUGUGUGUGUGUGUGCGUGCGUGCGUGCGUGCGUGUGUGUGUGUGUGUGUGUGUGUGUGUGUGUGUCUGUUUACGCACAGUUCAGCAGGGUUUAUGGGUAUGAGAGCAUGUGCGCUUUCAUAACUUAAAAAAAAAAUCACCAUAAAUAAACACCCCCCCCCUCCACAAAUCUGUUCUCAUUAGAUUUGAUGUUGAUUGCAUUACGCAUAUGAACACAUUCUUGGCCAUUGUCCGCAUCCCCUGGGCCGAGUGGAGCCUCGCGUUGGACCGUGCCGGGCCUGGCCUCCGGAACCCUCUUUGCCCUGGGAGAUGGAUUCAAGGGGCCGGGGGGGCAUCGUGCAGCCCGGUUUAGCCUCUCAUUCUGGUUCAGGGCACCUGGGUGGAUGCCCCACCCCCCUCCCCCGGGGCCGGGGGGACGAGCCAGGCUCCACCGCCGGCUGUUUGUUUCACCAGCAUCCCAAAAGUGGAAAUCAAGGGCGUCCCAGCACCUCUGCUCCAGUGCAGCUUCCCAGUUCUCCCACACCAGUCGGGAGGAAGGACCAGCAUGCACCUGGUGGACCUGCCGCCCUGUGAGCCGGUCACAUCAAACAAAUCAAGGAAUCCAUUUCUUGUUCUUCGCCACUUCAUCCUUAUUGAAUCACCGCGUUAGAAUUGAAAUGAACGCACCAGGGGACAAGGUGAUUUGUAGCAGGGUCUAAUGAAGACAGACGGAGCUGGUUCUGCAGGUGGAGGAAAAAGCUCAACAAGUAUGAAAAUGGAGUUUGACUGAGUAUAUUUCAGGCAUUGUGAUAAAUGGAGUAAAAGAUUUAUAUUAAAAUACAAAACUGAAAAUAUAUACUCUAAUGUCUAAACUUCAGUAAGUUCAGUAGCUGAGUUUAUGUUCCUUCUUCUUUUCUUUACGGCACUGUUGCUGCUGGAGUCGUGUGCGUUUUCAUCUGAGCAAACAUGCGGAAUAAAAAGUGGAAUUAAAUGAGAAUGUCCA
Molecule: long non-coding RNA, 1103 nt
Filed under: Betta splendens (Siamese fighting fish)
Lineage: Eukaryota; Metazoa; Chordata; Actinopteri; Anabantiformes; Osphronemidae
Description: lncRNA (ENSBSLG00000011373.1)
Source: RNAcentral